UUAAUCGUUUAUUUUGCGUUGGAUUGCGUGGGCUGAACAAUCCGGACAUCGUGGCCACCGACGUGGACCCCCGCCACCGGGACCCACGCAGAGCGGAUUGUACUCCCAGAGGCUUCAACAGAGCGGGUCUGGAGCUGGGAGCUGUUGGUCAGGACCCGUUCAGUCCUACAGGAACAGACGGUAGAGGUGAUGGAGGCGGUCGUCUGGAGGUCCGUGGCGGUCGUCUGGAGGCGCUCGCUGCAGAUGGAGGGAAGGCCGGGAGCCGUGCAACCCAACGGAUGCAGAACGAAGGACUGAGGCGGUGGUCCUGGAGGCAGAGGCCAGCCUGGAGGCGGCGGUGGCCUGGAGGUCCUGGAGGCGUCCAACCUGGAAGGGGCGGCAUGGAGGGCCAGGUGGCGGCUCCUCAUCCAAAGGGCCUGGAGGCGGCCAACCUGGAAGGCCUGGAGACGGCCGAGGUCCUGGAGGCAACGGCGGUCCUGGAGGGCCCGGUGGCGGCGGCGGCGGCGUCCUGGAGGGCCCGGCAGCGGCGGCUCCUCAUCCAGUAAAGCUAAACUCUUCUCCAGUGCAUCAUGAACGGGGAGGAAUGUCCGGGGUGCAAAUAGAACGUGUGUCACAUUUCAGAAGAAAUGAGGCGACAUUGCGGAGGUCCAGGCGGUCGGCCCGGUGGAGGUCCAGGCGGUUGGCCCGGUGGAGGUCCUGGAGGAGACGGUCCCGGCGGUGGAGGUCCAGGCGGUCGGCCCGGUGGAGGUCCUGGAGGAGACGGUCCCGGCGGUGGAGGUCCAGGCGGUUGGCCCGGUGGAGCUCCUGGAGGAGACGGUCCCGGCGGUGGAGGACGGCUGGGGGGUCCGGCGGUGGAGGUCCGAAGGCGGCUCGUGAUUAGACCAACCAGCUCCUCACCCAUGGAAGGAUUGAAGGAGUCACUGGGGAUGAAGAUCACUGCUCAGGGGCUGACGACCCCCCCCCCCCCCCCCCCCCCCUCAUCUUUCCGGAGAAGGGUCCUCAAUGUGCAGGCGGUCAAACCUCCACCUCUUUGAAGACACCAAGCAGCUUGAUGUCUGACUGGUUCCUUAUACUCCGGACCUCGUCCCGGAGCAGAGGACGGACCUAAGGCCCGCAGCGCAGCCGACUAGAGACUCCAUGUGGAACCGUUAAGAUACUGGAUUGACCAUCUUGAAGACAUUUUCAUUUAUUCAACAAGGUUAGUUUUGUUUGGCGGGUAUGUUGCUUUGAUACUCGGGGCUUCUUCUGUAACAAACUUUCUAGAGAAUAAGAUCUGACUUCAGCCAAUCAGUGGGAUGUCCUUGAACAAGAGCAAUGGCUGAAGGUGCUCAAACGCAUUAUUUUGACUCGCUCCUCUACUAUUGCUGUAAUCAAGCUGGAUGGCUAUUUUGCUCCUUCUACUGACAAAAUCAAGUCUGCCACCUGGUGGCGGAUGAGGGCGUAGCAACUCGGGGUACAUUGGAAACAUGAUAAGAAGAGCCUGUUUUUGAUUGGAUCGUACACCUAAAUGUUUUCACAUCAAAAUAUCGCCGAACCCCAUGUUGGACAAUGCUUGUUUUCAUCCUUUCUAUGUUUAGCUUUGAUUUAUCCUUACCUUUUCUUGUGACCCAUUCCCCUUAGGUUCAAUUAAGUUGACCUCUCCUUCAGGCGACUUAAAGGGAGACCAGAUGUGCGGCAGCUGGGUGUCAUGGUGCAGAGACCCAACGCUGUACUGAACUACACCAGUGUGUCCUACUCCCAUGAACCCUGAGGAUCCCUGGAUGGCUACACCAGCACAUUAAUCCACACCCAACAUCAACACACAGUGCACACUCUAUAGAGCUCGUAAAUCCGCCCCUUGCGGCGGGACCUCAUGAGAUCGUAAGAUAUGACUGGGUUUCAAUGGAGAGAAAGUAAUUAUUUUCUCCAUUUUAUGUUGCACCACAUUUUGGGGGAAGAAUGUUUGAAUCAAUCUUUGUCAUUUAUUUCUGUACUCCAUAUCUGUAAUCCCAGCUGUUGUAUUUUAACACGGUAGCUGGGAACCCUCUUUAUAGGGAGUGACUAGAGGGACGAGGCUGGAAGCAAACCUGAGCCUGGAUCUUAACCUUCUUUCUAAACCUAAUGCCGCAAUUUAACCGCAAAUAAAGUGAGGCCUAAAGUAACUUGACUCUCUUACCUAAACUUGCUUGCCUAAACUCGCUUGUCUAAACUCGCUUGCAUAAAACCUAAACUCGCUUGCAUAAAACCUAAACUCGCUUGCAUAAAACCUGAACUUGCUUGGCUAAACUCGCGUCGCUUGCCUAAUACCUGAACUUGCUUGCCUAAACUCGCUUGCCUAAUACCUGAACUCGCUUGCCUAAACUCGCUUGCCUAAACUCGCUUGCCUAAACUCGCUUGCAUAAAACCUAAACUUGCUUAGCUUGACUCGCUUGCCUAAACUCGCUUGCAUAAAACCUAAACUUGCUUAGCUUGACUCGCUUGCCUGUACUCGCUUGCAUAAAACCUGAACUCGCUUGCAUAAAACCUAAACUUGCUUAGCUUGACUCGCUUGCCUAAACUCGCUUGCCUAAUACCUGAAGUCGCUUGCCUAAUACCUGAAGUCGCUUGCCUAAUACCUGAAGUCGCUUGCCUAAUCCCUGAAGUCGCUUGCCUAAACUCGCUUGCCUAAUACCUAAACUUGCUUGUCCAAACACGUUACACAAAGUUAACCAUCCAUAAUCUUUAACCCAAACCAGACUUGUCCCUGGGUCGCUCCACUUUAAUUUAGAAGUUUCUUCUUUUACCUCAUCUGCGUUUUGAGUUUCAUUCUUUGAGGGCUUGAAGUGCUUUGGAGGAUAUUUGAACCUUUGUUUGCCGCAUCUAUAAACAUGCUUUAUCUUUACCCAUUUUGUUUUGGAUUGCAUUUCUAUGUGUAAUCCGGCCAAAUGUUCAGUGUCCUUACAUGUAAUGUCUAUGGUCUGACGAUAAUCUGACCUCUUCAUGAAGCAGAAUGUGUGUGAAUGUUGUCCCGUGAGCUCCAGGCUCUCUGUGGGCCUGUCAACGUCUCUUUAGCAAAAGGUUGGAGAGUGAAAUUCAUUUUUGUGCCAUUUUCAUGUGUUCCUGAGUAUUUCAGACCUGUGGUGUUUCACAUGAGACCUUAAUGGGAACUUUUCUUUUUCUUCCUGCAUACAUAAUGCCUACAUUAGUAGGGUGAUCACUGUUGAUCCCAAUAUUGAUCAUUAACCACCUCAUUCUUUGGGAUUACAAAUCAUGUAAUUUAUGAGCAUAUUUGCAAAUGCCUCCAAAUAUCAGAUUGUGUAAAAACGAAUGAAAUGUAACCUGCUUGAUUUAAAGAAAAUAAAACAUCCAAAUAUUCUAAA
This is a long non-coding RNA of Gadus macrocephalus (Pacific cod), 3338 nucleotides long. RefSeq lists it as uncharacterized. The record is from RefSeq and is a predicted model, not a curated record. Lineage: Eukaryota; Metazoa; Chordata; Actinopteri; Gadiformes; Gadidae. The transcript has 9 exons.